Molecule: non-coding RNA, 122 nt
Organism: Actinobacteria bacterium RBG_19FT_COMBO_36_27
Lineage: Bacteria; Bacillati; Actinomycetota
Source: Rfam
AAUACCUUUAAAAUAGUCCGGAGAGACUAAAAAGGAAUGAAAAAGAUAAAGAUAUCUGAAAAAAGUUCUAAUAUUAAGAAUUUAUUGACCUUCUUACCUAUUUGGUAAGAAGGUUUUUUUAU